ACUUGACUUAUUGUCCUAUGUCCCCUAGAUGGGGCAGAGGGCGUCCACAGUGCGCCGCCAUCUGGAUCGUCUUCCCAAUAGCCUCUGCCUCUGCAAUAAUAGUCCGGCGCCAGGUCUGCCUUGGACGGCAACGUUUCCUCUUUCCUUGGGGAUUCCAGUCUAGGGCUUGCCUCGGUAUGUGGUCAGGAUCC
Molecule: long non-coding RNA, 191 nt
Organism: Cydia amplana
Lineage: Eukaryota; Metazoa; Arthropoda; Insecta; Lepidoptera; Tortricidae
Exons: 2
Source: RefSeq, a predicted model, not a curated record